RNAcentral lists this ribosomal RNA (499 nucleotides) under uncultured bacterium. RNAcentral's name for it is "bacterial SSU rRNA". It matches the Rfam family "Bacterial small subunit ribosomal RNA", at positions 26 to 507 of the family's 1533-position model. The record is from RNAcentral.
UGGCUCGAGGACGAACGGCUGGCGGCGUGCCUAACACAUGCAAGUCGAACGGGGUUGAGUGCUUCGGUAUUCAACUUAGUGGCGAACGGGUGAGUAACGCGUGAAGAACCUGCCUUUCAGUGGGGGACAACAGUUGGAAACGACUGCUAAUACCGCAUGACACUUUUUGGGGGCAUCCCCGAGAAGUCAAAGCUUUAUGUGCUGAAAGAUGGCUUCGCGUCUGAUUAGCUAGUUGGAGGGGUAACAGCCCACCAAGGCGACGAUCAGUAGCCGGUCUGAGAGGAUGAACGGCCACAUUGGGACUGAGACACGGCCCAGACUCCUACGGGAGGCAGCAGUGGGGAAUCUUCCGCAAUGGACGAAAGUCUGACGGAGCAACGCCGCGUGAACGAUGACGGCCUUCGGGUUGUAAAGUUCUGUUAUACGGGACGAAUGGCGUAGCGGUCAAUACCCGUUACGAGUGACGGUACCGUAAGAGAAAGCCACGGCUAACUACGUG